GCGGGCUUUUGGUGUUCUUUACCUGGUCAGCACGUAUUUUUAGAAAUUAUCAGAUUGUUGAUCUGACCAUUCCUAAGGGUUUUGCUACCUCACUGGUGGGUUUUGUUUUUCUAGCCUAAUCUCUCUGAGGUUCAUAUUUAACAUUACAAUGAAAAGUUAUACAAUACAAAUUCAACACUUCAGAUAUUCUGUCCACUUCAUUUGUCAUUAAUGACAAGUGAACAGCUCUCACCUUGGCUAUGUUGUCAAAUUAAUUUUGAGGCUCUGAAAAUGUCUAAUUUCUAAACAAUUCAUCCAAAAUAUUUGUCAAAUCCCUUUAAUCAAAGCGGAAAGUUUGCACCUCAGUUGUUUGGUUUUUACAAUCUCCUGUCUUUACACAGGCAAAAAUUACAUAUCUAACUCCACACAGGCUGGAUUAUGCAUGAAAAUGAUCUUCAAUCAUACAGUGUCAGCGUAUGUCAUUUUGGGUAUUAUUCAGGGUAAAAACUCAACUUAAAUAAGGACAGUGUUUCAAUUUAAAGUAAGUGGGGUGCUUGCAUGUUCUGAGAAUUUUGUGAUCACCCUAAAAGAAGAAUUUCCAUUAAGAUUGGCAAGUUUAUUUAACAAAAGAAUUUUGUAUUUGUAAUUUAUGAUUUUGAUCAUUCACUUUUACACUUUCCUCCAAAUUUUCAACAUUUGUUAUUAAUUUUGGGAAAAAAAAGACCAUAAUUAUGUUAUCUGGAUGCAUUUGAGGGUUCAAACAGCUCAUGUGUUCUGCAGAAAGACCUUCCACCUAAAUAUAGUUUUUUUUAAGUAUAUUAAUCCUGAUAAUUAUGUGAAUUAAUAACAAUAAUCAAUUAUUUCCUGUUUAAUACGAAUAACACUUGUGAUUAUUGCCCUACUAAUGUGUGUAAUGAUGAGAUGCCUUUUUUUCUUCUCCCACUUACUCUGCAGUGACAAAUGUUGUUACACAGAUCUUUGUUUAAGGAAAGCCUGUGUCGGUGUGUUAUUGUGUCGCUUUUGCAGUUUCCUCACUUAUUUGUGCCAAAUCUGAAACCAGCUUUCACCACUGCUGUCAAGCCAACUGUGAAUAACAAUUAGAGGGACUUCCGUGCCUUGGCAGUCACUCUUGUGUUUUCUUCCAAAGAAUGUCCCACUGAAACGGUUUGGCGAACCGUUUCAAGGCAGGUUUCUUUCCUCAGUUUUCUUCUGUGCUUUAGAUGCGUUCUUAAAUCCUUCACUGCCAUCGUUACAAUCAAAGUUUACAGGAUUACAGCGCGUGUUACUUAGCAAUUCCUUGUCUCCGCAUUGAUGCAUUUUAUACUUUUUUUCUGUUGUUGCUGAUGUUGUCUUUUGGUCAUUGCUUGCAUAUCUGCUCCUUUGAAUGGAUGACCUAUAUAAGUGGCGUUGGGGCUCAGUAGUGCAGAUGUUUUGUCCAGAUGUGGGUGUAAUUCAAUGCUCGAAGCGGAGGAUCCGGAGCACAAGAGGAAGAGUUUUCCCUCCGUCCACACCAUCCCAGCGCCUCACAUUCCUCUCUCCACCCUCUCAGUGCUGCUUUGUGUCUUUCUGUCUAUAGAGCUUAACUCUCAAACUGCACCUCCCUUUCCAGCAGAGCCGGUUUCUGUAGAGCACUUGUAACAAAGUUUCACAGACAGUGUUUUAUGUUAUUUACAUUUGUGACAUUUCUUUAGGCGACUUGGACUAGUAUUGUUAAGUUUGGCCAGCAUUCCUUCUCCUAGUUUGAAAUAAGAUGUGAUGUGGAUUUUUGAGUGGGAUCUGGAGUCUUUGUGAUUCGUGAUGUUUCCAGCGGAAGUUCACGUAGAAGUCUUUCAGGCUUUGUUCACUUGUAUCAUUUUUGAACCCACAAGCCCAUGACGGAUGAAUGUUAACCACCUAGCGAUAUAGCAACAUUGAAUAAACAAAUUAGUCAAGUUUAGUGAUUUCUUUUAGCCCUCUAAUUCCUCUCUGCAAGCAGCUUUGCUAAAAUGAAUGUGAUUGGAGACACAAACGGGUUUGAGCCAGUGUUUAGGCUUUGCUCAAUAGUAACUGUCCGCUCAUGUUCUCUGUGAUUGUUGGUUAUGCAUAAACUGAUGCAGAAUUAAAAAUGGUAAAUGGCCUGUAUUUGUAUAGCGCCUUACUAGUACCUAAGGACCCCAAAGCGCUUUACACAUCCAGUCAUCCACCCAUUCACACACACUGGUGCAUGCAGUGAACGACACCUAUAGUGCUCACUGAGAGUUGCAGCUCUCCACUAUGUUGCCUAUUCAGAAGCUGUACUGUAGCGUUUGUUAUCAAAUGUUUCAUAUUAAGAAAUAAACAGGAAUUCAUCCACAAAAAUGCUAAUUUGCACAGACUGCUCUAAUUAAAGUGUAUUUGCGUUAGUUUGACAGAUGCUUCAUACAUCAACAUCCAAAGAGGUCCUGUCUGUUUAAAAUAAAUAAAUAAAUAAAAGCUCUUUGUAAAUUCUGGCUUCAUUAAAAAUCUCAGUUCAACAAUUGAAAGUCAUUAUUAUCAUUAUUAUCCUAAACCAUGUUUCAUAUCUAUCAGCAUCUAAUUUGCAGUGUAAUUACUUCCAUUGCUUGUGUGACAGUGUUGUUCCAAAACUAUUUAAUGUGUUACUGUUUCUUUUUUCUUUGUAUACACAGUUCAAACAAACGUCUUCUAUGUUCAUAUGGCACUAACAUGUCUGUAUUAUUAAAGCAUUAUCACAUCUUGUGACUGAGUUGACUCCAUAA
This is a long non-coding RNA of Astatotilapia calliptera (eastern happy), 2714 nucleotides long. Lineage: Eukaryota; Metazoa; Chordata; Actinopteri; Cichliformes; Cichlidae. The record is from Ensembl.